RNAcentral lists this ribosomal RNA (253 nucleotides) under uncultured bacterium. Its description in RNAcentral is "partial 16S ribosomal RNA". It matches the Rfam family "Bacterial small subunit ribosomal RNA", at positions 524 to 776 of the family's 1533-position model. The record is from RNAcentral.
UACGAAGGGUGCGAGCGUUAUUCGGAAUCACUGGGCGUAAAGGGUGCGUAGACGGUUUGUUAAGUUUGUCGUUAAAGACUCUAGCCUAACUGGAGGGUUGCGAUGAAAACUGGCGAGCUAGAGGGUGAGAGAGAGAAGUGGAAUUCCUGGAGUAGCGGUAAAAUGCGUGGAUCUCAGGAGGAACACCAAUGGCGAAGGCAGCUUCUUGGCUCAUUCCUGACGUUGAGGCACGAAAGCGUGGGGAGCGAACAGG